This 425-nucleotide ribosomal RNA is filed under the name uncultured bacterium. Its description in RNAcentral is "partial 16S ribosomal RNA". It matches the Rfam family "Bacterial small subunit ribosomal RNA", at positions 354 to 796 of the family's 1533-position model. The record is from RNAcentral.
GUGGGGAAUAUUGGACAAUGGGCGAAAGCCUGAUCCAGCAAUGCCGCGUGAGUGAUGAAGGCCUUAGGGUUGCAAAGCUCUUUUACCAGGGAUGAUAAUGACAGUACCUGGAGAAUAAGCUCCGGCUAACUCCGUGCCAGCAGCCGCGGUAAUACGGAGGGAGCUAGCGUUGUUCGGAAUUACUGGGCGUAAAGCGCACGUAGGCGGUUACUCAAGUCAGAGGUGAAAGCCCGGGGCUCAACCCCGGAACUGCCUUUGAAACUAGGUAACUAGAAUCUUGGAGAGGUCAGUGGAAUUCCGAGUGUAGAGGUGAAAUUCGUAGAUAUUCGGAAGAACACCAGUGGCGAAGGCGACUGACUGGACAAGUAUUGACGCUGAGGUGCGAAAGCGUGGGGAGCAAACAGGAUUAGAAACCCCUGUAGUCC